This 373-nucleotide ribosomal RNA is filed under the name uncultured prokaryote. RNAcentral's name for it is "bacterial SSU rRNA". It matches the Rfam family "Bacterial small subunit ribosomal RNA", at positions 524 to 896 of the family's 1533-position model. The record is from RNAcentral.
UACAGAGGUCUCAAGCGUUGUUCGGAUUCAUUGGGCGUAAAGGGUGCGUAGGUGGCAAGGUAAGUCAGAUGUGAAAUCCCCGGGCUCAACCUGGGAACUGCAUUUGAUACUGCCGUGCUCGAGUGCUGGAGGGGAGACUGGAAUUCACGGUGUAGCAGUGAAAUGCGUAGAUAUCGUGAGGAAGACCGGUGGCGAAGGCGAGUCUCUGGACAGCAACUGACACUGAGGCACGAAGGCUAGGGGAGCAAACGGGAUUAGAUACCCCGGUAGUCCUAGCAGUAAACGGUGCGCGUUUGGUAUGGGGGGAUCGACCCCUUCCGUGCCGGAGCUAACGCGUUAAACGCGCCGCCUGGGGAGUACGGUCGCAAGAUUA